This 552-nucleotide long non-coding RNA is filed under the name Gallus gallus (chicken). The record is from RNAcentral. Lineage: Eukaryota; Metazoa; Chordata; Aves; Galliformes; Phasianidae.
GUCCGUCCAGCAGGUGGCUUUGUCCUCCUCAGGAGCACUCAAACCCAUGGGGAGAGUCCCUUCAUCACUCACAUAAUCAUCAGUGCUGCAGUAGAAAAUUAGUGGCUACAUUUAAGUCAUUAUUUGAAGCCCUCAAAGCUUCCAGAGCGUCUCCCCUGGAAAAUCCCAUCUCCAUGAGUCGUGCAACCUGUUCUUCAGAAACCUCAGUAGGUGGAGGUGUGUCUUGAUCAGAUGGGUGAUGAUCUUGAUAAUUCUCAUUGUGUCUAUGACGUAAAGGAGGAAACAGUCUAUUCCAGUUAAUCAUCCCACCCUGCUGCUGCCUUUGUCUCCUCAUUUGGGCAACCUGAGACAUCAUGAUCUGUCGAUCCAGUAGCUCCAUUCUCUGCUGCCUCUGGAUGUCGACUGUUGCUCCCAUUCCCACUCGGAUUUCAUUCGUUGGUUCCGCAGAUGAGAAGAUUGGUUCAAGAGUCCAGGAAAAUAUCUUUGCUACCCAGCUGGGUACACAAAGAAUUCGAUGAACUUUUAAUAUACUGCUAUUGUAGCAAAUCCCAG